CAACAAAUAAGAGAUAAAUAACAUGUACUUUAAAUAUUUACCCUACCUACUGUGUAAGCCAGCGUUUCUUAACCUGACGGUUGCAUCGGUCAGAAAUAAUUAAACAUUUUGUUUACAUUAAAAAUAAAAAAUUAAUACAUAACCAUUAUUAAUGGAAAAAUGAAGAAGUAAGAGUACAAUAUAAUAAUAAAUGUAAUAUUAUUAUAAUAUAUUAGUUUUAAUUAUAAGGGAGGGGGGGUCGUAAGGUAACUGACUUUAUCUUUUACCUAUUUUGGGGGUCGCGACAUUAAAAAGGUUGAGGAAUUUAUUAUUAAGAUUAUCAAUUAAUUUAUGUUUCGACACGUAAAUGGUGAGCAUUAUAUUAUAAUACUAGUUGAUAAAAAAAUUAAGACAUAAUUUAGCCUUUAGGUUUUAGAUUCGGAGCGUAGUAAGGGAUCUAAUGGUUUUAUUAUAAUGUGUGUUUUUUUUUGUAUUUGUGUGUAUUUUUAAUUUAGAUUAUGAUUUCUUUUUAUUAAUACUUCUUGAAUAAGCUAGAAUUGAAGGAAAUAUAUGAUAUGAUAAGGAUCCAACAAUUUGAUGUUGUAGUGGGCCCAUGAAUUGGUAAAUCAGUGCCUGGGUAGGUAUUCGUAUUUUAAUGGAUGUUAAAAUAAAAUUCAUAAAAUUAAAACCAGUUCUGUCAUAUGUCGUGCACCAAGUGGCGCAUAAUGUUUGGUUAAAAUUCGGUUGAACGUUUAACUGUUACUAAUUAUGUGCAUAAUAAUGUUUUAUAAUCAUUUAUCUUAGACUUAGACAUCCAUACUAAAAAUUUGGUGGAAGUAUAAAUAGGCUAAUGGUACCUAAUAAUAUAAUGUAACCGGAAGCAAUUUUAAUUGCAACUACACAUCACACGUACCUAACAGUGAUUACAGUACUCGCCGACAUUUGUUUAGCCGACUACUAUAGUUUCUUCGACGCGUAAACCGGUAUCUGGUAAUAAUAGAAAAAGUUCUUGUUUCACUUGUUUUUCUUCUUUUAAAUUGUUUAUACAAUAGGUAAAUGGCAUAAUUCUAAUUUAGCUGCGAUUUUUGUAUUUUUCUAAAAAUUGUCAUCAAAAACUAUACAAAUUAAAAAAAAAAAAAAAAUGUCUG
Non-coding RNA from Cinara cedri, 1127 nucleotides. The record is from the annotation of a GenBank genome assembly. NCBI's taxonomy places the organism in Eukaryota, Metazoa, Arthropoda, Insecta, Hemiptera, Aphididae.